GGGGAAUUUUCCGCAAUGGGCGAAAGCCUGACGGAGCAAGACCGCGUGGGGGAUGAAGGUUUGUGGAUUGUAAACCCCUUUUGACAGGGAAGAAGUUCUGACGGUACCUGUCGAAUCAGCCUCGGCUAACUCCGUGCCAGCAGCCGCGGUAAUACGGAGGAGGCAAGCGUUAUCCGGAAUUAUUGGGCGUAAAGCGUCCGUAGGUGGUUCAGUAAGUCUGCUGUUAAAGCGCGGGGCUUAACUCCGUAUAGGCAGUGGAAACUACUAGACUAGAGUGUGGUAGGGGUAGAGGGAAUUCCCAGUGUAGCGGUGAAAUGCGUAGAUAUUGGGAAGAACACCGGUGGCGAAGGCGCUCUACUGGGCCAUAACUGACACUGAUGGACGAAAGCUAGGGGAGCGAAAGGGAUUAGAUACCCCAGUAGUC
Molecule: ribosomal RNA, 424 nt
Filed under: uncultured cyanobacterium
Lineage: Bacteria; Bacillati; Cyanobacteriota
Description: bacterial SSU rRNA
Rfam family: Bacterial small subunit ribosomal RNA
Source: RNAcentral